CAAAAAAUAGUUUAAAAAAAAACAAUAAAUUUGGAUUUUAUAAAUCUACAGAUGUGUAGUUUUUUGA
RNAcentral lists this transfer RNA (67 nucleotides) under Trichophilopterus babakotophilus. RNAcentral's name for it is "tRNA-Pro". Lineage: Eukaryota; Metazoa; Arthropoda; Insecta; Psocodea; Philopteridae. The record is from RNAcentral.